Molecule: ribosomal RNA, 1397 nt
Filed under: gut metagenome
Description: bacterial LSU rRNA
Rfam family: Bacterial large subunit ribosomal RNA
Source: RNAcentral
GGGGUGACUGCGUGCCUUUUGCAUAAUGAUCCUACGAGUCCCUCCCGUUGGCGAGGUUAAGGGCUUGAGGCCCGGAGCCGGAGCGAAAGCGAGUCCUAACAGGGCGCGAAGUCAGGGAGAGGGGACGCGAAACCAAGUGAUCUACCCUUGUCCAGGAUGAAGGUCCGGUAAGACGGACUGGAGGUCCCAACCAAUAAGCGUUGAAAAGCUUCUGGAUGAGGUGAGGGUAGGAGUGAAAGGCCAAUCAAACUUGGAGAUAGCUCGUACUCCCCGAAAUGCCUUUAGGGGCAGCGUCGGGACAGUAACGUGUAGGUAGAGCGACUGGUUGGAUGCGAGGGCUUCACCGCCUAUCAAGUCCUGUCAAACUCCGAAUGACACGCUAUGAUUCCCGGCAGUGAGGGCGCGGGUGCUAAGGUCCGUGUCCGAGAGGAGAACAAUCCAGACCGCCAGCCAAGGCCCCGAAAGGGCAGUUAAGUUGGACUAACGAAGUGCGGCCGCAGAGACAGCUAGGAUGUUGGCUCGGAAGCAGCCAUUCAUUCAAAGAGUGCGUAACAGCUCACUAGUCGAGCGGCCGUGCGUGGAUAAUAAGCGGGCAUGAAACUGUCUGCCGAAGCUGCGGAUUUAUGGUAGGGGAGCAUUCCACCGGCGUCGAAGGCGGGCCGCGAGGCCUACUGGAGCCUGUGGAAAAGCAAAUGUAGGAAUGAGUAACGACAAGGGGGGCGGGAGGCCCCCCCGCCGAAAGACCAAGGGUUCCUGAUCAACGCUAGUCGGAUCAGGGUUAGUCUGGAGCUAAGGAUAAGGCGAAAGCCGAAGCCGAUGACGAUGCGGUUAAUAUUCCGCAACCCGCUGUAUGGGCGAUGUGGCGACGAAGCGAGCAAGGCUGUGCCCGGUGACGGAUAUCCGGGUAUAAGGCGGAAGGCGACGAAGGGUGCAGGCAAAUCCACACCCGAGCCGGAACCCGAAAGUACGGCGACCCUCCGGGGGAGCCGAUAUCAGCCGGAAGCGCUUCCAAGAAAACCCGCUAAGCUUAACCAUGCGGCGGCCAGUACCGCAAACCGACACAGGUGGUCCGGUAAGAGAAUACCGAGGCGUAUGGGAGAUUCACGGUUAAGGAACUAGGCAAAUUGACCCCGUAACUUCGGGAUAAGGGGAGCCCUCCUCCGGGAGGGCCGCAGAGAAAAGGCUCAGGCGACUGUUUAACAAAAACACAGGGCUAUGCUAAAUCGAAAGAUGAGAUAUAUGGCCUGACACCUGCCCGGUGCUGGAAGGUCAAGGGGAGAAGUCACGCGCAAGCUGCAGCUUCGAGCCGAAGCCCCAGUAAACGGCGGCCGUAACUAUAACGGUCCUAAGGUAGCGAAAUUCCUUGUCGGGUAAGUUCCGACCUGCACGAAUGGUGU